GACGAACGCUGGCGGCGUGCUUAACACAUGCAAGUCGAACGGAGAGGCCCUGCUUUUGUGGGGUGCUCGAGUGGCGAACGGGUGAGUAACACGUGAGUAACCUGCCCUUGACUUUGGGAUAACUUCAGGAAACUGGGGCUAAUACCGGAUAGGAGCUCCUGCUGCAUGGUGGGGGUUGGAAAGUUUCGGCGGUUGGGGAUGGACUCGCGGCUUAUCAGCUUGUUGGUGGGGUAGUGGCUUACCAAGGCUUUGACGGGUAGCCGGCCUGAGAGGGUGACCGGCCACAUUGGGACUGAGAUACGGCCCAGACGCCUACGGGAGGCAGCAGUGGGGAAUAUUGCACAAUGGGCGGAAGCCUGAUGCAGCAACGCCGCGUGCGGGAUGACGGCCUUCGGGUUGUAAACCGCUUUCGCCUGUGACGAAGCGUGAGUGACGGUAAUGGGUAAAGAAGCACCGGCUAACUACGU
This 467-nucleotide ribosomal RNA is filed under the name uncultured bacterium. Its description in RNAcentral is "partial 16S ribosomal RNA". It matches the Rfam family "Bacterial small subunit ribosomal RNA", at positions 28 to 506 of the family's 1533-position model. The record is from RNAcentral.